Molecule: RNA transcript, 1954 nt
Organism: Phoenix dactylifera (date palm)
Lineage: Eukaryota; Viridiplantae; Streptophyta; Magnoliopsida; Arecales; Arecaceae
Gene name: Pentatricopeptide repeat (PPR) superfamily protein
Source: RefSeq, a predicted model, not a curated record
CUAAUUAAGGUGUGUUUAGACCAUAUCAGGCCUUAACCCAAAGCCCAAACCUGGCAGUUAGGCUCAAGCAUGAGUCCGAACCCCUAGACUUCUACUAAACCCCCCGAAACGAAAACCCUACACCUCUCCGACCUCCGGCAGCGCCGGCCAUGGCUUUCCUGCUGAAAUCCAAGCCGCCUUCCUCUUCUUCCAUUCUCCCUUGUCUCAUCAAAUCUCUCUCCAACUCCCCGUCUCUCCCCGACUUCGACCAAUCCCCAAGUCCUACCGCCGCCGCGGCGGCGGCGGCCGCCCCAUUCUCCGCCGCCGAGGCCAACCUUCUCGAGAAGCUCCAUGCCCUUAUCAAAGACCACCACCGCGCCAACCCCACCCCCGAUCCCACCGUCGCCCCUGCCCCGGACCUCACGAUCCCCUCCCUCUCCUCCUCCUUCUCGCUCCUCUCGCCCUCCUUCCCCCCUUCCCCCGCCCUCACCUGCGCCCUUCUCGGCCGCCUCUCCUCCCUCCGCCACGGCGUCCCCUUCUCCCAAGCCCUCGCCUUCUUCAACUGGUGGCUCUCCUCCAUUCCUCGCUCCCCCUCCCUCUACCCCGCCUUCGCCGAGCUCAUCGACCUCGCGGGCAAGCUCCACCACUUCGACAUCGCCUGGCACCUGCUCGACAAAAUGCGCUCCCUCGAAAUCCCCAUCCAAAAACAGAUUUUCAUGAGCCUCAUCCGUCGCUACGUCCGCGCCGGCCUCCCCGAGGACGCGGCCCAUGCCUUCGGCCGCAUGCCUGACUACGGCGUCGACCCCGAUCCCCCAACCUUCGCCUCCCUCCUUGCUGUCCUCGCCAAGAAGCGACUUGCAGCUGAGGCCCAGUCCCUCUUCGACUCCUUCAGGCACCGCUUUCCCCCAGACGUCGUCCUCUACACCGCCCUUGUCCACGCCUGGUGCCGCGCCGGCCGGCUUGACGAGGCCGAGCGCGUCUUCGCCGAGAUGCGGGGCCAUGGCAUCACCCCCAAUGUGUACACGUACACUUCCGUGAUUGACUCCAUGUGCCGAGCCGGCCAGAUACCCCGCGCCCACGAGCUCUUCUGCCAGAUGCUUGAUGCCGGGUGCUCGCCCAAUGCUGCGACGUUUAACAGCCUGAUGCAGGCCCACGUCAAGUCUGGGCGAAUGGAGCAGGCGUUGCAGGUGCAUAACCAGAUGAAGCAGCUAGCUUGCGAGCCGGAUAUCAUCACCUACAACCUCCUCAUUGAGGCCCACUGCCAGAAGGGUCAGAAGAACCUCCAUGCUGCACUUAAAGUCCUCAACCAGAUGGCUGCCAAGGGGUGCACCCCAAACUGCCACACUUUCAAUGCCAUUUUCCGCUGCAUUCUUAGUGUCGGGAAUGUAAACACUGCGCACAAGCUUUAUAACCGGAUGAGGGAGCUUGGUUGUCGGCCGAACACUGUCACGUAUAAUCUGCUAAUGCAGCUGUUUGGCAAAGAUAAGUCGAUGGAUAUGAUGCUGAGGAUGAAGCAGGAGAUGGAGGAGGAGGGGAUCGAGCCAAAUGUGAACACAUAUGGGGUGCUUAUAUCGGAAUUCUGUGGGAGAGGGCACUGGAAGCAGGCGUACAAGAUGAUGAGGGAGAUGGUGGAGGAGAAAUGCCUCAAGCCUACGGUGCCUAUGUACGAGGCAUUGCUGGCGCUGCUAAGAAGGGCUGGUCAGCUGAGGAGGCAUGAGGAGCUCGUGGAGAAGAUGGCAGAGAGAGGGUUCAUCUCCAGGCCUUUGUAGGGGCUAAUUUGUUACAAUUAUACAACGGGAAAACGAAGAAAAGAUUUGAAGCUACAAUUAUACAAAGGGAAAACAAAGAAAAGAUUGGAUUUGCUAAUUUUAUAGCAUAACCUCUAUGGAAGGGGAAAAGUUUGAAGUGGGCAAAGAUCAUGGUUCGCUGGAUUCAAGUGCUGGAGUAAAAUUUUCUGUUUCAGACUUCCCCCCUC